UAGAGAUGGAGUGAACCAACCCGAAUUGAAACUCGAAAUAAUCUGCAGCCCAAAACAUAACCACUGCCGCCAUCGUCGCUUGUUGUCGCCGGCAUAGCUCCGGUAAGUACCACCACCACUGACACCAUCAAUCAUCUUCUACAGUAAUGAACCCUCAACAUCAAUUUUUUUAGAAAGCAGAAGAUAAAAAUACCGUGAAACCCGACGGACUCCUCCAUCACCGCCGCCGUAGCGGCGGCUACGCAGCCCAUCUCCACCGCACACCUCCGUCGUUCUCUUUCUCGCUCCCGAUCUCUCUCUCUUCUAUCUUCUUAUUUCGCCGCUGCACCACCACCGGACGGUGGUGGUGGUGGUCGUCUAAUUUGUCGAUCGGAAGGGGGGGUGUCGUCUGGCUGGUUCAAAGACGAGGGGGUGGAGUUUCAUCGGUAAAAACCGUCGACAAAGGUUCAGCCAGUUAACCGGCGCCACUCCGGUCGCCGGAGCCGGAGAAGAGACAGAGGGUGUUGAGGGACCAUGUUGGCAGGAGCUCUUUAUAUGUAAGUAUAAUGUAAGUGAAGGCAAGGAGAUGAGGGUCUGCAGUAGGUGAUCGAGAGGAGGUGAGUGGGUGUAGUAUGUGAGAGAUGGAUGAGCUUUAUGUGGGUAUUGUCUGUGUAUUUAAUAGAGUGAGGAAGGUUUUGAUUUUUCCUUUAUAUACUCAAAUUACAUUCAGAUCAGAUAUUUUACCCUUUAAAUCAAGAUUUUUUUGAAGAGAUUUGUAGAGAUUUUGGAUAUCUUGUAAAAUAUCUUGUAAAGAUUUUGUAAGAUAAUAUAAGAUUUCAUAGAGAUCUU
This 828-nucleotide long non-coding RNA is filed under the name Helianthus annuus (common sunflower). RNAcentral describes it as "hypothetical non coding rna". The record is from RNAcentral. Lineage: Eukaryota; Viridiplantae; Streptophyta; Magnoliopsida; Asterales; Asteraceae.